RNAcentral lists this ribosomal RNA (432 nucleotides) under Klebsiella pneumoniae subsp. pneumoniae KPNIH21. Its description in RNAcentral is "bacterial LSU rRNA". It matches the Rfam family "Bacterial large subunit ribosomal RNA", at positions 2501 to 2925 of the family's 2925-position model. The record is from RNAcentral. Lineage: Bacteria; Pseudomonadati; Pseudomonadota; Gammaproteobacteria; Enterobacterales; Enterobacteriaceae.
CAUAUCGACGGCGGUGUUUGGCACCUCGAUGUCGGCUCAUCACAUCCUGGGGCUGAAGUAGGUCCCAAGGGUAUGGCUGUUCGCCAUUUAAAGUGGUACGCGAGCUGGGUUUAGAACGUCGUGAGACAGUUCGGUCCCUAUCUGCCGUGGGCGCUGGAGAAUUGAGGGGGGCUGCUCCUAGUACGAGAGGACCGGAGUGGACGCAUCACUGGUGUUCGGGUUGUCAUGCCAAUGGCACUGCCCGGUAGCUAAAUGCGGAAGAGAUAAGUGCUGAAAGCAUCUAAGCACGAAACUUGCCCCGAGAUGAGUUCUCCCUGAGACUAUAAGUCUCCUGAAGGAACGUUGAAGACGACGACGUUGAUAGGCCGGGUGUGUAAGCGCAGCGAUGCGUUGAGCUAACCGGUACUAAUGAACCGUGAGGCUUAACCUUAC